GGUCUGGUGGUCUAGUGGUAUGAUUCUCGCUUAGGGAACACCCUAUGCAAAUAUGCGAGAGGUCCCGGGUUCAAUCCCCGGCCAGACCC
RNAcentral lists this transfer RNA (89 nucleotides) under Nemania abortiva. RNAcentral's name for it is "tRNA-Pro". It matches the Rfam family "tRNA". From Rfam's summary of the family: Transfer RNA (tRNA) molecules are approximately 80 nucleotides in length. Their secondary structure includes four short double-helical elements and three loops (D, anti-codon, and T loops). Further hydrogen bonds mediate the characteristic L-shaped molecular structure. tRNAs have two regions of fundamental functional importance: the anti-codon, which is responsible for specific mRNA codon recognition, and the 3' end, to which the tRNAs corresponding amino acid is attached (by aminoacyl-tRNA synthetases). tRNAs cope with the degeneracy of the genetic code in two manners: having more than one tRNA (with a specific anti-codon) for a particular amino acid; and 'wobble' base-pairing, i.e. permitting non-standard base-pairing at the 3rd anti-codon position. Lineage: Eukaryota; Fungi; Ascomycota; Sordariomycetes; Xylariales; Xylariaceae. The record is from RNAcentral.